AGUAAGAGAUAAAUUAAUUUCUCAGUCAACCUUCAGGACUUUAGUCAACCUUCAGGACCUUAGACUCUACAUCAGGACUUUAGUCUUGCCUACCUAGUAACCUGCUUUAUCAAACCUUGAGCGUUGUUUCUUAACUGAGCUGAAUCAUCUUCACAAAGGUUUUGCAACAUUGGUUUGUAGGGCUACCAACUGAAAUAGUGUCGUCUUGCAGUCGAUAUUCAGUAGGAACGAACCAAUCUCUAUUGACAAAAAUGGCCAGUGGUGGAAAUAAAAAGAAAGGACGCUUUUAGGGGCUCUGCUAUUGACAGCAACAAAGCAAGGGGAACCUUGGAAGUAUCGUACGUAUCUUCUCGCUACUAUCAAGAACAGAGAUGGUGAGGUGAUCUUCAAUCAAUGCUUUGAAAACACACCAAAGACUAGACGUACAGAAGGAAAACAGGCUGAAGUUGCCAUGCUUGAUAAUAGCAACAGGAAAGAAAUAGUUGAGGGCAAUACUAAUAUCAGCAUUUUUCUGACAAUAAGUUAUUCGCCAUGUAAAGAUUGUGCAGGAAAAUUGAUAUCAUUUUAUGAGCGUCAUAAAAGAGACAUUACAAGUUUCAUUGUCCAAUUUUCCCAGUGUUAUUACAACUUAAGUGACCUCCCAAUUCUGGAUCUGGUGAAAGCGGGUGUAACCUUACUUGCUAUGAGUAAAGAUCUCUGGCGUGAAAUUGGAAUUAACUUUGAGACCAUAUUUCCACUGGAGCUUGAGCAUCUCAAACUCAAAGAAAGUGUGGAAAACUGGAACGCUCUCCCAGACGGCAUUAGGAACAUUUCCGAUUUUUCAGUUUUUAGACGUCUUGUUAAAAACAUGUAGUCUCUUCUAUUGAUUAUGCCCUUUUAUCCUU
This 884-nucleotide unclassified non-coding RNA is filed under the name Stylophora pistillata. RNAcentral describes it as "uncharacterized LOC111335764, transcript variant X2". Lineage: Eukaryota; Metazoa; Cnidaria; Anthozoa; Scleractinia; Pocilloporidae. The record is from RNAcentral.